Long non-coding RNA from Zonotrichia leucophrys gambelii, 1923 nucleotides. RefSeq lists it as uncharacterized. The record is from RefSeq and is a predicted model, not a curated record. The transcript is spliced from 2 exons. NCBI's taxonomy places the organism in Eukaryota, Metazoa, Chordata, Aves, Passeriformes, Passerellidae.
AAUGGAAGAUAUGAGGGACAUGGCAUGGAUACUUAAAAAAAAAAAUAAAAAAAAAAAAAUUGCCAGAGUCAAGCACAUACAAUUGCAGCCCAUAUGCCAUCAAGUGCAGGGACAUGAAACAAAGCUUGCCCAAAUUGAUCCCCGCUGAAGGCCAAAACACAAAAGAAGGACUUACAAACGCUCUGGAAUGGAGAUCCCACUCCAGGAACUGCAAUUGGAGGAGAAAAAAAAAAUUUUGGAAAUUUUGGGACUACAAGGAAAUGGACCGGGAUUCCAUCCAGCGCAGUGCAAAGGACCAAAACAGGCCAAAACUCACUUGGCAGAUGCUGCAAAAGCAGGGGAAAAAGUCAAGGAGGAACACUGCGCUUGGAGGGCAACAUAUGAGGGACAUGCUAUGGAUAGUCAAAAAAAGAAAAAAAAAUUUCCUCAAAGUCAAAGCCAUGCAAAGGCAUGGCAUGCCAUCAAGUGCAGGGACAUGCACCAAAGAUUCCCCUACUGGUCCCCAUUGAAAUUUCAAUGUUUCCUUUCCCUUCCUGAAAGGUGCUGGAAUUAAAUGGGUCCCUGCCAAAACGUCAAACCAUAUCACAUCCCAGUACAUGUUGACGAGUCCAGAGCCAAGGAAGCAAGUACACAGAUGUGAGCCGAGCAGAGGGAUCCCAGCUUGCCUGACGUUCCUUGUGCCUGACGUUCUUUUUGUAUCGGUGGAACCUGCAAACUCUGAUUUUGUGUUAAUGUUAUUUAUGAGUGUGUCAAUGUAUGUUAAAUGUUUGUUUAACAGAGCUGAGUUUUGGCAAAAGUUUAGGUUUUUGUUUUUGUGGAGAACAAAAUUUAAAAAUUGAUAUAUAUGUAAGGAUUCUGCCAAAACUUAGCUAAUGAAAAUGAUGGAGCGAUUGCAAGUUGUAUGUUGGUAUUGGUGGAUUUUAAUUGUUUUUUGUCGUGCAGAUUUGCCUGUGGAACUACCAAAAACAAAUGUUUGGGUGACCUUAGCCAAGGCAGCUGGCUCGGAUACUAUAUGUUUGUCUAAUUCAGAACCAGAAAAACCUUUUUCAACCUGUCUGGUUGGUGUGCCAGUAAAAGAGUCGCCUUUGGUCAAAAAACAAUCCAAUGAUAAGCCGGGUGAAAUUGACAAUGGAAACAAUCCCUCAUUGAAUUGGAACGUUUGGUCCAAAAAUCUUCCCAGGGCAGCAUCUGAACCCCAAGAAUUAGAAAUCCUUGGCUCUUUAACAAUGGAUUUUUGCUUUACCUUCAUAGCUAGUGCUUGGCAAAAAGGUGAUCCUCCAAAGUACAAUGUUACUACUCAUUAUUUUGCAUACAGAAAUUUGAGUUUUUGGUGUAAUGUUUCAAACAGUUGGGAUGUGCUUCCUGAGACAGAUCAAUAUCCACGCCAAUUGCCGAAGGGGUAUUGGUUCAUUUGUGGAGACAGAGCCUGGCAAGGCUUUCCAGCACACCUUGAAGGUGGCCCUUGUAGCAUUGGGAUGCUCACUAUAAUUGCACCCACUGCCAAGGCGGUCAUGAAAAAUAAACAAAGGAGAAUGAGAGCUGUUUCUCAUUAUGAGGAAAACUGUCAGAGUGAUUUCAGGCCUUGGAAAGCUGCCAGAAGGGUUUCAGCAGGUAUAUUUUUACCCCAAUUGGCUUCAGCAGUGGCACUGAAACAGAUAGAGCUGGAUGCUAGCUGAGCAAACAAGCUAAUGCCACAUCCUCUGCAAUCAGUGAUAUGUUAACCAACAUUUACAGUGUUAGACAUGCUACCCUUCAAAAUAGAGCAGCAAUUGAUUUUCUUUUACUGGCACAAGGGCAUGGUUGUGAGGAAUUCAAAGGACUGUGCUGUAUGAAUUUGUCCAAUCAUUCUGAAUCCAUUCACAAAAGCAUACAAAAACUGACAAGAUUUGACAGCUCAAAUUAAAGAAGAUGGUGGUUCCUGGC